This 273-nucleotide ribosomal RNA is filed under the name uncultured prokaryote. RNAcentral describes it as "partial 16S ribosomal RNA". It matches the Rfam family "Bacterial small subunit ribosomal RNA", at positions 524 to 796 of the family's 1533-position model. The record is from RNAcentral.
UACGGAGGGUGCAAGCGUUAUCCGGAUUCACUGGGUUUAAAGGGUGCGUAGGUGGGUUGGUAAGUCAGUGGUGAAAUCCCCGAGCUUAACUUGGGAACUGCCAUUGAUACUAUCAGUCUUGAAUACCGUGGAGGUCGGCGGAAUAUGUCAUGUAGCGGUGAAAUGCUUAGAUAUGACAUAGAACACCAAUUGCGAAGGCAGCUGGCUACGCGGAUAUUGACACUGAGGCACGAAAGCGUGGGGAUCAAACAGGAUUAGAUACCCUAGUAGUCC